UACACGUAACGCCCACCCGAUGCGACGGAAAAGACACAACGCUGAAAAAAGUUUUCACUUCGCGUUUUUCGAUCAUCACAUUCUAAACGACGACGUGCAUGUGAGAUUUUAUUGUUGUGCGUUUUACUGUAAUUUUGAAUGAUUUUAAGUUUUAACUUUAUUCACUUAUGUCCUGGAGAACGCGGCACUCUCUUAAAAGCAGCACCCACUCGACAUGACCGAGGAAACGUGUUCGCUUCGCUGUUUUCAUUCAUCAAAUUCGAAACGAAGACGAAGAACUUGGAAACUUGGACGUGGAGGGGCUCCAGCACACCCCACACCCCUUCAGGGUAAGCGGAUCAGAAAAUGGAUAGAUGGAUGGAUUACAAAGUGGUGGAAAACAAUGGUAUUGAACGUUUUGAAGGACUUCUUAAAAUUCUAAAAUCAAACUAAAAUGUUUCUCCUUGGUUGUGUUGAGAAGCUUUUUACACAGCUUUUAUCAUUUCCCUUUUUUCCACAUCAACUCCAACCUCAGAAAAAUAUUUCUUCACACAUAAAGUUAGUUUUAUUUGUAAAAAAACACGACUGUGUUUUCAAGUGUAAACAGUAUUGUAUUGUUCGUGUGCGUGUUAGAUACUCCAGGUAUGUUAACGCAGGUCAACAGCAAGCCAAACUCAUUUAUUCAUGAGCUAGGAAACUGAGCGUCUUGCUCCUUAUUGCGGUCUUCUUGACGGAGUACAGUGAACAACUGUGUUAUCAGCUCAAUGAAAUGUAGAGUUAUACUGAAAUGAAUAGAUUUAAAACAUGCAUGAACAUCCAUUAAAUAAAUACAAUACAAUUCGUCUGGUGUUAAGCAAAAGACAUAAAUGCAGCUCAAAGUGUGACAAACAAUGAUAAACAAUGCGUUUUCGCAAUACGUUCGCAUGCUAAUUAGCUUGUUAGCACCGAUUUAGUAUCGUCAUUACGUCGUUAGCAGUACUCUGAGCUAGCGAGUUUCAAUGACAACAAUUGAGGGAAAACGAUCUCCGAAACACAUUUCUAAAUAAUUCUAAACACGAGCAGACUUGCAGCCAUUGCUUUCGAAGGUGAAACGAAAGAAUAUAACUCAGGAGGACCAGUUGCAAGUGACUUGCAACGACCACGGUCAGGCUUUCUGUAACGACUCGUCUGAUGAAACACGGCGUCUACUACCCACAAUGCGCCGCGAUAACUAAAUGAAUAUUCCAAACACAAUGACCCGAAACUUUACUGUAGGCAGAACAAGUAUCAUUGUUGACCACUGUACCAUGACGCACAAUUUGAAUAUUAACUGCGCUUACAGUACACCUGGCCCAUAUGUGCUCACCGACUGCUGUAUGUGUCCAUACGACAAUACGAUGAAGGUCAGAUGACGACAUGAUAGCUGUAAUUAGUUGUAAAAAAAGAAAAAAGAUAAUCACCCCCCCCCCCCCACACACACACACAUGCUGAAACGCAAAUCAUGCCCACAAAGAAGGACAGUCACUGGAUGUGUGCUAGUUUUUUGUUUUUGUUUUUUAAAGCCCCUUCGGUCCUUGUGAGGACAAAGCGGUUCAGAUAAUGGAUGGAUGUAUUUAAUGAGCCACGUGUGCACUGUGCUGCUUGGCAACCUGGUCAUCUCUCAAUUAUCAGCAUGUCCUAAUGAAGCAUUCAGUUAUGAGAUGAGAUUUAACCGCUCUCAUGAAAAAGUGAAUGUAAAACCACGCGCUCCUUGUAAGUAAGUAACCUGGCGAUAUUAACUGCGCACACACGUCACUGGCGAUGACUUCGAUUCGUGACCAGGUCGAUUCGUGACUAGUCAACUUCACAAUCAAUGUAUGCCAUGUUUUCCAAAUGGAUUUCUUAUGGAAUUGAUGUUUCAUGAAAACUCCACAAUCGGAACAUUUUACUUUCAUGUGGGUGACUACGGUUGAUCUCUUCAUCUGGGCAAAGUCCUGCUUUCUCUAAGUAGUUUACGAGCUGCAGUAGCUGAACCUCGAACGACAUUACUUACGCGUUAAAGCGACUGAAAUUAUGAAAUUGUUACAAUGUAGUCUUUUUGCGCACAUCUCCGUCUUUGUCAAGGUGAACUUUUCGCUUCUGGUGGAUGAAACAUCCAGUCUCCUUUGACAAGCUUCCACAAAUUUUACAGCCCGCAUGGGUGAUGUGAAUCUUUCAGGAUCAAGUGGCGGUCCACCUCAGGGGUGACAUCACAGCCUGAAACGAUAAAAAACGUGUGAACCCAUUGCCGCAAAGUUCAUCCAAAAGUGAUCUUGGUCUGGCUCGAAGCGCUCUGACAUCAAACAUCAAACGAGCGCGGAACUUGGAAAGCAUGCUGGCAUUUUCAUUCGCGAGUAUUUUCAGAGCUUCUUGCGAAGGAUCUCAUAUCAUGCCAUUGGACACAUUUGCCACUUACGUGAAACCUUUUCUUCAGGCUGCCUGGAAAGCCGACACAUUGCCACCAUUUGCAGCGUCACUUUUAUGUACGAACAGCAUUGGUACUUCACAAGGGCAGACACAGAAAUCGAUCCAGCAAUUUUCGGUCCGAGGAGGUCGUGGAGAGCCCCUUUUACACCGACUCAAGUCUCCAUCCCGGUGGAAACCACUCGCAAAACAACAAUAGAAACCAAUAUCUUCCACAUUUGGGGUCUUUUGAAAUAUCAGCCGGUCUCCAACGUCACACAAGAAAACAAAAAUGAAAAUUCGAGCAGAUCAUUUUAAUCAGAGUAUAAAAAAAGUUGACAAUUAACAGUUGAAGUAAAAUGAAAGGAAAUAUUUUAAAAGAUACAUUUGCAAGAAGGCGAUUUGGCUCAUAAUCAGUUCUAAACUAUUGUAUGUGGGGGGUAGAGGGAAAAAAUGACCAAGACCUCCAACAGAUUUUAUUCACUCUUUCACAUUGUUGAGGAAAACUUAAAAAUCUCGUCAGGUUUGCUUUGGUAAACCUCCAGUGAAAAAACACAACCUUUGAAUUCAGUCUCAAGUGUCGAGCUGAAAGCAGUGUGAGGUCAUGUGACCGCUAUCCAUUUCUAAAGAGUUGUGUUGGCGACUUUGUUGUCACACAGACCAUAAAACAGCGGAAUGUAUUAAAGUACUUUGGUGUUUUUGAUUUGCUAUUAAACAAACACACCCUCUCCAUUGCCGACUGGAAGAAAAAGAAAAGUGCCUCUGUGUGUGUGUGUGUGUG
Hippocampus zosterae (dwarf seahorse) is the source of this 3160-nucleotide long non-coding RNA. RefSeq lists it as uncharacterized. The transcript is spliced from 2 exons. Lineage: Eukaryota; Metazoa; Chordata; Actinopteri; Syngnathiformes; Syngnathidae. The record is from RefSeq and is a predicted model, not a curated record.